AUUGAACGCUGGCGGCAGGCCUAACACAUGCAAGUCGAACGGUAACAGGAAGCAGCUUGCUGCUUCGCUGACGAGUGGCGGACGGGUGCGUAAUGUCUGGGAAACUGCCUGAUGGAGGGGGAUAACUACUGGAAACGGUAGCUAAUACCGCAUAACGUCGCAAGACCAAAGAGGGGGACCUUAGGGCCUCUUGCCAUCGGCUGUGCCCAGAUGGGAUUAGCUAGUAGGUGGGGUAACGGCUCACCUAGGCGACGAUCCCUAGCUGGUCUGAGAGGAUGACCAGCCACACUGGAACUGAGACACGGUCCAGACUCCUACGGGAGGCAGCAGUGGGGAAUAUUGCACAAUGGGCGCAAGCCUGAUGCAGCCAUGCCGCGUGUAUGAAGAAGGCCUUCGGGUUGUAAAGUACUUUCAGCGGGGAGGAAGGGAGUAAAGUUAAUACCUUUGCUCAUUGACGUUACCCGCAGAAGAAGCACCGGCUAACUCCGUG
RNAcentral lists this ribosomal RNA (490 nucleotides) under uncultured bacterium. RNAcentral's name for it is "partial 16S ribosomal RNA". It matches the Rfam family "Bacterial small subunit ribosomal RNA", at positions 30 to 507 of the family's 1533-position model. The record is from RNAcentral.